This 221-nucleotide ribosomal RNA is filed under the name Pratylenchus brachyurus. RNAcentral describes it as "partial large subunit ribosomal RNA". Lineage: Eukaryota; Metazoa; Nematoda; Chromadorea; Rhabditida; Pratylenchidae. The record is from RNAcentral.
AGUCAGCGUAUCCGACUUGUAUUCAGCUGCGUGGUGUAACGGCCUCCGGUGCUGGCGUCUCCAGAUUGGGAACAGCGCUGGUCGGCCGAGAGCUGUGCUGUGCAUUUGCAAGUGGAGUGCGUCGAGAUUCAUGUGGUGGCGUCACAAACUUUGUUUUGAGGCCAGCUUGCUGGUACCCGAACUGGGCUAGUGAUGUUCACGCAUAUGUGUGUUUUGGGGGA